UAGGGAAUCUUCCACAAUGGACGCAAGUCUGAUGGAGCAACGCCGCGUGAGUGAAGAAGGGUUUCGGCUCGUAAAGCUCUGUUGUUAAAGAAGAACGUGGGUGAGAGUAACUGUUCACCCAGUGACGGUAUUUAACCAGAAAGCCACGGCUAACUAUGUGUCAG
This 164-nucleotide ribosomal RNA is filed under the name uncultured bacterium. RNAcentral describes it as "partial 16S rRNA". It matches the Rfam family "Bacterial small subunit ribosomal RNA", at positions 355 to 511 of the family's 1533-position model. The record is from RNAcentral.